AGUGAACGCUGGCGGCGUGCCUAAUACAUGCAAGUCGAACGAAGUGGCGCACGGGUGAGUAAUAUAUAGUUAAUCUGCCCUACACAGAGGAACAACAGUUGCAAACGACUGCUAAUAACUCAUAGUGCAAGAUGAGACUAUAACGUGUCAGCUAGUUGGUAAGGUAAUGGCUUAUCAAGGCUAUGACUCGUAACUGGUCUGAGAGGAUGAUCAGGCACGUUUGAACUGAGACACGGGCCAAACUCCUACGGGAGGCAGCAGUAAGGAAUAUUGCGCAAUGCUGGGAACCCUGACGCAGCAACGCCGCGUGGAGGAUGACACGUUUCGGAGCGUAAACUCCGUUUAUCAGGAAAGCGGUACCUGCUGAAUAAGCACCGGCUAACUCCGUGCCAGCAGCCGCGGUAAUUC
Molecule: ribosomal RNA, 408 nt
Filed under: uncultured bacterium
Lineage: Bacteria
Description: partial 16S ribosomal RNA
Rfam family: Bacterial small subunit ribosomal RNA
Source: RNAcentral